Molecule: ribosomal RNA, 253 nt
Filed under: uncultured bacterium
Lineage: Bacteria
Description: partial 16S ribosomal RNA
Rfam family: Bacterial small subunit ribosomal RNA
Source: RNAcentral
UACGAAGGGGGCUAGCGUUGUCCGGAUUUACUGGGCGUAAAGCGCGUGUAGGCGGGCUGGAAAGUUGGGGGUGAAAUCCCGAGGCUCAACCUCGGAACUGCCUCCAAAACUUCCAGCCUGGACCCAAGUAGAGGCAAGUGGAAUACCGAGUGUAGAGGUGAAAUUCGUAGAUAUUCGGUGGAACACCAGUGGCGAAGGCGACUUGCUGGACUUGUGGUGACGCUGAGACGCGAAAGCGUGGGGAGCGAACAGG